CACGUAGGCACCAAGCGUUGUCCGGAUUUAUUGGGCGUAAAGAGCUCGUAGGCGGUUCAGUAAGUCGGGUGUGAAAACUCUGGGCUCAACCCAGAGACGCCACCCGAUACUGCUGUGACUUGAGUACGGUAGGGGAGUGGGGAAUUCCUGGUGUAGCGGUGAAAUGCGCAGAUAUCAGGAGGAACACCGGUGGCGAAGGCGGUUCUCUGGGCCUGACCUGACACUGAGGAGCGAAAGCGUGGGGAGCAAACAGG
RNAcentral lists this ribosomal RNA (254 nucleotides) under uncultured bacterium. RNAcentral describes it as "partial 16S ribosomal RNA". It matches the Rfam family "Bacterial small subunit ribosomal RNA", at positions 524 to 776 of the family's 1533-position model. The record is from RNAcentral.